Molecule: ribosomal RNA, 233 nt
Filed under: uncultured bacterium
Lineage: Bacteria
Description: partial 16S ribosomal RNA
Rfam family: Bacterial small subunit ribosomal RNA
Source: RNAcentral
GAUCAUGGCUCAGGACGAACGCUGGCGGCGUGCUUAACACAUGCAAGUCGAACGGAGCACCCUUGAAUGAGGUUUCGGCCAAAGGAAAGGAAUGCUUAGUGGCGGACUGGUGAGUAACGCGUGAGGAACCUGCCUUUCAGAGGGGGACAACAGCUGGAAACGGCUGCUAAUACCGCAUGACGCAUUCGGAUGGCAUCAUCUGAAUGCCAAANAGGUUUAUCGCUGAAAGAUGG